Molecule: long non-coding RNA, 130 nt
Organism: Ipomoea nil (Japanese morning glory)
Lineage: Eukaryota; Viridiplantae; Streptophyta; Magnoliopsida; Solanales; Convolvulaceae
Exons: 3
Source: RefSeq, a predicted model, not a curated record
CUGCUUGUGUAUGUAUAAAGAAAUCCAGAAAUCCAUAGUUUAAGGAAUAAGAUUAGAUAAAGUAGUAAAAAUUUGAACAUUUUAAAUAUGAUGUAGUCCAAAGAUAUUACGAGGUAGUUUCUCGCUUCAA